RNAcentral lists this ribosomal RNA (497 nucleotides) under uncultured bacterium. RNAcentral describes it as "partial 16S ribosomal RNA". It matches the Rfam family "Bacterial small subunit ribosomal RNA", at positions 28 to 507 of the family's 1533-position model. The record is from RNAcentral.
GAUGAACGCUGGCGGCGUGCCUAAUACAUGCCAGUCGAGCGAACGGACGAGAAGCUUGCUUUUCUGAUGUUAGCGGCGGACGGGUGAGUAACACGUGGAUAACCUACCUAUAAGACUGGGAUAACUUCGGGAAACCGGAGCUAAUACCGGAUAAUAUUUUGAACCGCAUGGUUCAAAAGUGAAAGACGGUCUUGCUGUCACUUAUAGAUGGAUCCGCGCUGCAUUAGCUAGUUGGUAAGGUAACGGCUUACCAAGGCAACGAUGCAUAGCCGACCUGAGAGGGUGAUCGGCCUCACUGGAACUGAGACACGGUCCAGACUCCUACGGGAGGCAGCAGUAGGGAAUCUUCCGCAAUGGGCGAAAGCCUGACGGAGCAACGCCGCGUGAGUGAUGAAGGUCUUCGGAUCGUAAAACUCUGUUAUUAGGGAAGAACAUAUGUGUAAGUAACUGUGCACAUCUUGACGGUACCUAAUCAGAAAGCCACGGCUAACUACGUG